RNAcentral lists this ribosomal RNA (380 nucleotides) under uncultured eukaryote. RNAcentral describes it as "partial 18S ribosomal RNA". It matches the Rfam family "Eukaryotic small subunit ribosomal RNA", at positions 592 to 976 of the family's 1831-position model. The record is from RNAcentral.
CAAUAGCGUAUAUUAAAGUUGUUGCGGUUAAAAAGCUCGUAGUUGGAUUUCUGUUGAGAACGUCCGGUCUGCACUAUGUGCGUGUAUCUGGUUCGGUCUUGGCAUCCUCUUGAGGAACGUAUCUGCGCUUGAUUGCGUGGAGCGGUAUUCAAGACUUUUACUUUGAGGAAAUUAGAGUGUUCACGGCAGGCAAGCGCCUUGAAUACGUUAGCAUGGAAUAAUAAUAUAGGAUCUUGGUUCUAUUUUGUUGGUUUCUAGGGCUAAGGUAAUGAUUAAUAGGGAUAAUUGGGGGCAUUUGUAUUAACGCGUCAGAGGUGGAAUUCUUGGAUUGCGUUACGACAAACUACUGCGAAAGCAUUUGCCAAGGAUGUUUUCAUUGA